Molecule: ribosomal RNA, 253 nt
Filed under: uncultured bacterium
Lineage: Bacteria
Description: partial 16S ribosomal RNA
Rfam family: Bacterial small subunit ribosomal RNA
Source: RNAcentral
UACAGAGGGGGCGAGCGUUGUUCGGAAUUACUGGGCGUAAAGCGCACGUAGGCGGAUCGUUAAGUCGGGGGUGAAAUCCUGGAGCUCAACUCCAGAACUGCCUUCGAUACUGGCGAUCUUGAGUCCGGAAGAGGUGAGUGGAAUUCCUAGUGUAGAGGUGGAAUUCGUAGAUAUUAGGAAGAACACCAGUGGCGAAGGCGGCUCACUAGUCCGGUACUGACGCUGAGGUGCGAAAGCGUGGGGAGCAAACAGG